GUGGGGAAUCUUAGACAAUGGGCGCAAGCCUGAUCUAGCCAUGCCGCGUGAGCGAUGAAGGCCUUAGGGUUGUAAAGCUCUUUCGCUGGGGAAGAUAAUGACUGUACCCAGUAAAGAAGCCCCGGCUAACUCCGUGCCAGCAGCCGCGGUAAUACGGAGGGGGCUAGCGUUGUUCGGAAUUACUGGGCGUAAAGCGCGCGUAGGCGGAUUGGAAAGUUGGGGGUGAAAUCCAGGGGCUCAACCUCGGAACUGCCUUCAAAACUCCCAGUCUUGAGUUCGAGAGAGGUGAGUGGAAUUCCGAGUGUAGAGGUGAAAUUCGUAGAUAUUCGGAGGAACACCAGUGGCGAAGGCGGCUCACUGGCUCGAUACUGACGCUGAGGUGCGAAAGCGUGGGGAGCAAACAGGAUUAGAACCCCGGUAGUCC
Molecule: ribosomal RNA, 424 nt
Filed under: uncultured bacterium
Lineage: Bacteria
Description: partial 16S ribosomal RNA
Rfam family: Bacterial small subunit ribosomal RNA
Source: RNAcentral